RNAcentral lists this ribosomal RNA (486 nucleotides) under uncultured bacterium. Its description in RNAcentral is "partial 16S ribosomal RNA". It matches the Rfam family "Bacterial small subunit ribosomal RNA", at positions 29 to 507 of the family's 1533-position model. The record is from RNAcentral.
AUUGAACGCUGGCGGCAUGCUUUACACAUGCAAGUCGAGCGGCAGCGCGGGGGCAACCCUGGCGGCGAGCGGCGAACGGGUGAGUAAUGCAUCGGAACGUAUCCUCGAGUGGGGGAUAACCCAGCGAAAGUUGGGCUAAUACCGCAUGAGCUCUGAGGAGGAAAGCGGGGGACCUGCGAGGGCCUCGCGCUGGAGGAGCGGCCGAUGUCCGAUUAGCUAGUUGGGGGGGUAAAGGCUUACCAAGGCGACGAUCGGUAGCUGGUCUGAGAGGAUGAUCAGCCACACGGGAACUGGAACCAGGCCAGGCCUCCGAGGGGGGGCGGGGGGGGGGAUUUUUGAACAGAGGGGGCAACCCAAACCCAGCAAGGCCGCGUGAGGGAAGAGGGCAUUCGGUUUGUAAAGCUGUUUCGCACGAAAAGAAGGGGGGGGAACUAAUACCCCUGUCUGAUGAGGGUACCGAAAGAAGAAGCCCCGCCUAACACCGGG